This 497-nucleotide ribosomal RNA is filed under the name uncultured bacterium. Its description in RNAcentral is "partial 16S ribosomal RNA". It matches the Rfam family "Bacterial small subunit ribosomal RNA", at positions 28 to 507 of the family's 1533-position model. The record is from RNAcentral.
GAUGAACGCUGGCGGCGUGCCUAAUACAUGCAAGUCGAGCGAACAGUUGAGGAGCUUGCUCCUCUGACGUUAGCGGCGGACGGGUGAGUAACACGUGGAUAACCUACCUAUAAGACUGGGAUAACUUCGGGAAACCGGAGCUAAUACCGGAUAAUAUAUUGAACCGCAUGGUUCAAUAGUGAAAGACGGUUUUGCUGUCACUUAUAGAUGGAUCCGCGCCGCAUUAGCUAGUUGGUAAGGUAACGGCUUACCAAGGCAACGAUGCGUAGCCGACCUGAGAGGGUGAUCGGCCACACUGGAACUGAGACACGGUCCAGACUCCUACAGGAGGCAGCAGUAGGGAAUCUUCCGCAAUGGGCGAAAGCCUGACGGAGCAACGCCGCGUGAGUGAUGAAGGUCUUCGGAUCGUAAAACUCUGUUAUUAGGGAAGAACAAAUGUGUAAGUAACUAUGCACGUCUUGACGGUACCUAAUCAGAAAGCCACGGCUAACUACGUG